CGAUUCCAUAACUCUAUGAUUCUGUGAGUCAAGUCCCAUUCUGAGCACCAACACUGCUGGUCUCCUGAGAGCAGAAGUGGCAUUAGGAGACACACAUCUGGAAGCAGAAUACCACGUUAUGUCCUGAUACAGCUGCCCUCAAACUUCCUGCUCGAACCAACCUGAGGCGAGCAGAAAUCUUCCACAUAGCAAUCAUUGCCACUAAAUACACACCCUUGUGAAAACUGGCUUGUGAAAAAGCACAGCAUGGUGGGUACGGUCGGAUGGCAGAGCUACAACAACAGUUUGGGUGCUUGGGGCUGUUCCCACCACCCCAACAGCAACAUCAUCCUCUCCCUUCCAUGCUGCUAAUUGGAAAGGACCCUGGAGCUUGAGGCCCUGGCACAGCAAUAGGCCGAGGCUGACCAGCAGACGUGUCCCUUCAGUGGUUGCCCUAAGAUAUCAGCUCAUCUCUGCCACCACCCUGAAAUCCAGAAGAUGGUUCCUCUGAGGCUGUAUCAACAGGUCCAUCAAACGUGGACACCAAAGGGACACCUCAGAAGGGCACCAGGGAUGCUCUGUAUGUCAACCAGGCAUUAGAGGAUUGCUUUGAACCUACAGAGGAGUGAGGCAGUCUCCCAAGAGGAACAGAUAGGAUGAGAAAUUGACCCAUUCUAGAGAUGGACUCCGAGCUGUUUAUGGCAUG
RNAcentral lists this long non-coding RNA (685 nucleotides) under Numida meleagris (helmeted guineafowl). Its description in RNAcentral is "lncRNA (ENSNMEG00000008242.1)". The record is from RNAcentral. Lineage: Eukaryota; Metazoa; Chordata; Aves; Galliformes; Numididae.